UGCGUAGGUGGUAGGGUAAGUCGGAUGUGAAAUCUCGGAGCUCAACUCCGAAACGGCAUUGGAAACUACCCAACUUGAGGGUCGGAGGGGGGACUGGAAUUCUCGGUGUAGCAGUGAAAUGCGUAGAUAUCGAGAGGAACACCAGUGGCGAAGGCGAGUCCCUGGACGACUCCUGACACUGAGGCACGAAAGCUAGGGGAGCAAACA
Molecule: ribosomal RNA, 207 nt
Filed under: uncultured bacterium
Lineage: Bacteria
Description: partial 16S ribosomal RNA
Rfam family: Bacterial small subunit ribosomal RNA
Source: RNAcentral